GAUGAACGCUGGCGGCGUGCCUAAUACAUGCAAGUCGAGCGAACAGACGAGGAGCUUGCUCCUCUGACGUUAGCGGCGGACGGGUGAGUAACACGUGGAUAACCUACCUAUAAGACUGGGAUAACUUCGGGAAACCGGAGCUAAUACCGGAUAAUAUAUUGAACCGCAUGGUUCAAUAGUGAAAGACGGUUUUGCUGUCACUUAUAGAUGGAUCCGCGCCGCAUUAGCUAGUUGGUAAGGUAACGGCUUACCAAGGCAACGAUGCGUAGCCGACCUGAGAGGGUGACCGGCCACACUGGAACUGAGACACGGUCCAGACUCCUACGGGAGGCAGCAGUAGGGAAUCUUCCGCAAAGGGCGAAAGCUUGACGGAGCAACGCCGCGUGAGUGAUGAAGGUCUUCGGAUCGUAAAACUCUGUUAUUAGGGAAGAACAAAUGUGUAAGUAACUAUGCACGUCUUGACGGUACCUAAUCAGAAAGCCACGGCUAACUACGUG
This 497-nucleotide ribosomal RNA is filed under the name uncultured bacterium. RNAcentral's name for it is "partial 16S ribosomal RNA". It matches the Rfam family "Bacterial small subunit ribosomal RNA", at positions 28 to 507 of the family's 1533-position model. The record is from RNAcentral.